Molecule: ribosomal RNA, 360 nt
Filed under: Pelobates cultripes (western spadefoot toad)
Lineage: Eukaryota; Metazoa; Chordata; Amphibia; Anura; Pelobatidae
Rfam family: Eukaryotic small subunit ribosomal RNA
Source: RNAcentral
GCGGUGUAGGUGGAAACGGUGGUGGAGGAGGAUGAGGUAGCCAACACUGUUUAUAUAUAUCUAUAUAUUUUUAAUUGGGGUAGCCCCCAAAAUAUAAAAAAAGACUAUAAAAAAGGACAACUGUGUUCCGCAGAGUAGCUGUUAACAUUAUAGUUGCGUAGGCACUUUGGUGACUCUAGAGAACCUCGGGCCAAUCUCACAUCCCCGUGACGGCGACUUUGCAUUCGGAUGUCAUCCAUAUCAACUUUCGAUGACAGUUUCUGCACCUACCAUGGUGACCACGGGUAACGGGGAAUCAGGGUUCCAUUCCUUACAGGGACCCUGGCAAACAGCUACCACAUGCAAGGAAGGCAGCAGGCG